ACUGGGAUUAGAUACCCCACUAUGCCUAGCCUUAAACUCUGACUACCUACGCCCACAAUCCGCCAGGGAACUACGAGCCCAAGCUUAAAACCCAAAGGACUUGGCGGUGCCCCAAACCCACCUAGAGGAGCCUGUUCUAUAAUCGAUAACCCCCGCUUCACCUCACCACUCCUAGCCUAUCAGCCUAUAUACCACCGUCGCCAGCCCACCCUGUGAAGGACCCCGAGUAGGCAUAGCAACCUAUCAUUAAAACGUCAGGUCAAGGUGUAGCUAACGGAGUGAGAAGAAAUGGGCUACAUUUUCUAAACAGAAUAAACGGAAGGCCACUAUGAAACCUGGCCAGAAGGAGGAUUUAGCAGUAAAGGGGGACAAGAGCGCCCCCUUAAAGCCGGCCCUGGGGCGCGCACACACCGCCCGU
Molecule: ribosomal RNA, 418 nt
Filed under: Pipa carvalhoi (Carvalho's Surinam toad)
Lineage: Eukaryota; Metazoa; Chordata; Amphibia; Anura; Pipidae
Description: partial 12S ribosomal RNA
Rfam family: Bacterial small subunit ribosomal RNA
Source: RNAcentral